Molecule: ribosomal RNA, 922 nt
Filed under: Notocomplana ferruginea
Lineage: Eukaryota; Metazoa; Platyhelminthes; Polycladida; Notocomplanidae
Description: partial large subunit ribosomal RNA
Rfam family: Eukaryotic large subunit ribosomal RNA
Source: RNAcentral
CCAGCACCGAAUCCUGUAUCGUCUUGAUACUAGGAAAUGUGGUGUUUAGGCCGUGCUUUGUGCCGGUAUGAUUCUCCUCAAGUCCACUUGAUUGUGGCUUCAGGCCCAGAGAGGGUGUAAGGCCCGUGGAGGCGAGUCGUCCGGUGCCCGGCACGUCCUUAGAGUCGGGUUGUUUGGGAAUGCAGCCCAAAGCGGGUGGUAAACUCCAUCCAAGGCUAAAUACUAGCACGAGUCCGAUAGCGAAGAAGUACCGCGAGGGAAAGUUGAAAAGAACUUUGAAGAGAGAGUUCAAGAGUACGUGAAACCGCUGAGAGGCAAACUGGUGGAGCUGAAAUGGUCUUGAGGAAUUCAGCCCUUCCUACUAGAGUUGGCGUCGGUUGUGAGAUCUCACGACUCCGCUGGCGUUCAUCUUCGUGAAGGAUAGGUGCACUUUCCUCUUGAUCGGACCACGACCAGCGACUUGUUUCUUGUCUGACAUAGACGGAAGGUAGCGUUGGCUUCGGCGAACGUGUUAUAGCCGGUUAUUUGGAUGAGCAAGGCGUUGGAUGCAAUGCUAGGCGCUUGCCCUUUUGGGCUCGUACGUUGUCACUUUCAGGUGUGUCGCCGGCUUCACUGCCUUUGGCAGGGGUGUUGGAGACGCGUCGGUUAGCGGCGGCCUCUGCGAUUGGCGUCGAAAGUCUGUGGUUAUGAAGUAGGCAGUCCACCUGACCCGUCUUGAAACACGGACCAAGGAGUCUAACAUGUGCGCGAGUCAUUGGGCUCUACGAAACCUAAAGGCGCAGUGAAAGUAAAGAUCCAUUUUGAUGGAUUGAGGUGGGAUCCUGAGUCACGUGCUCGGGCGCACUACCGGCCCGUUCGACAUGUAUUCAUGCGGGCGGAGCAAGAGCGUACACGUUGGGACCCGAAAGAUGGUGAAUCUAUG